RNAcentral lists this ribosomal RNA (253 nucleotides) under uncultured bacterium. RNAcentral's name for it is "partial 16S ribosomal RNA". It matches the Rfam family "Bacterial small subunit ribosomal RNA", at positions 524 to 776 of the family's 1533-position model. The record is from RNAcentral.
UACGUAGGGACCGAGCGUUGUCCGGAAUCAUUGGGCGUAAAGAGCGUGUAGGCGGCCACUUAAGUCCUGCGUGAAAUCUUGCGGCUCAACCGCAAGCGGUCGUGGGAAACUGGGUGGCUAGAGUGCGGGAGAGGAGAGUGGAAUUCCUGGUGUAGCGGUGAAAUGCGCAGAUAUCAGGAGGAACACCGGUGGCGAAGGCAGCUCGCUGGCCUACAACUGACGCUGAGGCGCGAAAGCGUGGGGAGCAAACAGG